UUGAGCGAUUUACUUCGGUAAAGAGCGGCGGACGGGUGAGUAACGCGUGGGUAACCUACCCUGUACACACGGAUAACAUACCGAAAGGUAUGCUAAUACGGGAUAAUAUAUUUGAGAGGCAUCUCUUAAAUAUCAAAGGUGAGCCAGUACAGGAUGGACCCGCGUCUGAUUAGCGAGUUGGUAAGGUAACGGCUUACCAAGGCGACGAUCAGUAGCCGACCUGGGAGGGUGAUCGGCCACAUUGGAACUGAGACA
This 255-nucleotide ribosomal RNA is filed under the name Clostridioides difficile. RNAcentral describes it as "partial 16S ribosomal RNA". It matches the Rfam family "Bacterial small subunit ribosomal RNA", at positions 62 to 326 of the family's 1533-position model. Lineage: Bacteria; Bacillati; Bacillota; Clostridia; Peptostreptococcales; Peptostreptococcaceae. The record is from RNAcentral.